CUUCGGAGGUCAGAGCUCGGCGGGGUGCGGCUAGUGGCGGAGCGCGCUGCGAGGGGAGGGCUUUCCACUGUCGCUGGCGUGAACUCGCGUGCCCGGCUUCACCAGGUACUGCCUUCUAACGAGCUGGCCAUUUCCACAUGUCAGAUAGGACCAACUUGCCUUUUAACUACCCGUGUGAUACUUAAACACUGUUGCCGGUAUCACAGCUUUUCUUCAAAACAGGGCAGUCAGUGAAGGCUCCCCAGGGGAGAUGACGUUUGAGCCGAGUUUCAGAAGAUGAUUGGAGUUUACCACGUGUUCACAGGAAGCAACGAGAAUGAGGGCAUUCCAGUAGCAGGAGACAGCAUGCAUAGAGAUGCUGAUGAAGAAAGAGCCUAGCGCACGUGGGAAACUGCAAAAGUUCAGACUGGUUGGAAUGCUGGAAAUGUUGUGAAUGACAGGAGAUGAGGCUGGCGAGAAAACAGAGGUCAGAUUGUGGAAGGCUGUCAAGCCAAAGACUUUGAUUUUAUUCUUGAGAUUGAUGAGAUGUGUGUAAUCCAGGAGUGUGCAAAACAAUCUGUAAGGGUUCAGAAAACAUACUGCUUCUAUAUAUAGUUACCUUUGUCUUAACUUG
Molecule: long non-coding RNA, 613 nt
Filed under: Homo sapiens (human)
Lineage: Eukaryota; Metazoa; Chordata; Mammalia; Primates; Hominidae
Description: non-protein coding APTR:25
Source: RNAcentral